AACAGGAUUAGAUACCCUGGUAGUCCAUGCCGUAAACGUUGGGCACUAGGUGUGGGGGACAUUCCACGUUUUCCGCGCCGUAGCUAACGCAUUAAGUGCCCCGCCUGGGGAGUACGGCCGCAAGGCUAAAACUCAAAGGAAUUGACGGGGGCCCGCACAAGCGGCGGAGCAUGCGGAUUAAUUCGAUGCAACGCGAAGAACCUUACCAAGGCUUGACAUGUUCCUGACCGCCGUAGAGAUACGGUUUCCCCUUUGGGGCAGGUUCACAGGUGGUGCAUGGUUGUCGUCAGCUCGUGUCGUGAGAUGUUGGGUUAAGUCCCGCAACGAGCGCAACCCUCGUUCCAUGUUGCCAGCACGUAGUGGUGGGGACUCAUGGGAGACUGCCGGGGUCAACUCGGAGGAAGGUGGGGACGACGUCAAAUCAUCAUGCCCCUUAUGUCUUGGGCUUCACGCAUGCUACAAUGGCCGGUACAAUGGGUUGCGAUACUGUGAGGUGGAGCUAAUCCCAAAAAGCCGGUCUCAGUUCGGAUUGGGGUCUGCAACUCGACCCCAUGAAGUCGGAGUCGCUAGUAAUCGCAGAUCAGCAACGCUGCGGUGAAUACGUUCCCGGGCCUUGUACACACCGCCCGUCAAGUCACGAAAGUUGGUAACACCCGAAGCCGGUGGCCUAACCCUUGUGGGGGGAGCCGUCGAAGGUGGGACUGGCGAUUGGGACUAAGUCGUAACAAGGUAGCC
This 735-nucleotide ribosomal RNA is filed under the name uncultured Citricoccus sp. Its description in RNAcentral is "bacterial SSU rRNA". It matches the Rfam family "Bacterial small subunit ribosomal RNA", at positions 771 to 1501 of the family's 1533-position model. Lineage: Bacteria; Bacillati; Actinomycetota; Actinomycetes; Micrococcales; Micrococcaceae. The record is from RNAcentral.